Molecule: non-coding RNA, 21 nt
Filed under: Caenorhabditis elegans
Lineage: Eukaryota; Metazoa; Nematoda; Chromadorea; Rhabditida; Rhabditidae
Source: RNAcentral
UCCUAUAGAAAUCCGAGUCUG